UACCAGCUCUCCGAGUUGUAGGGAUGAUUAUUGGGCUUAAAGCGUCCGUAGCUGGCUUAGCAAGUCCCCUGUUAAAUUCAGCGACCUAAUCGUUGAGCCGCGGGAGAUACUACUAGGCUAGGAGGCGGGAGAGGUCGACGGUACAUUCGGGGUAGGGGUGAAAUCCUAUAAUCCCGGGAGGACCACCAGUGGCGAAGGCUGUCGACUAGAACGCGCUCGACGGUGAGGGACGAAAGCUGGGGGAGCGAACUGGAUUAGAUACCCGGGUAGUCCCAGCUGUAAACUAUGCGGGCUAGGUGUUGGGGUGGCUACGGGCCACUUCAGUGCCGCAGGAAAGCCAUUAAGCCCGCCGCCUGGGGAGUACGGCCGCAAAGCUGAACUUAAAGGAAUUGGCGGGGAGCACCACAAGGCGUGAAGCUUGCGGUUC
RNAcentral lists this ribosomal RNA (427 nucleotides) under uncultured archaeon. RNAcentral describes it as "bacterial SSU rRNA". It matches the Rfam family "Archaeal small subunit ribosomal RNA", at positions 474 to 903 of the family's 1478-position model. The record is from RNAcentral.